RNAcentral lists this transfer RNA (80 nucleotides) under Felis catus (domestic cat). It matches the Rfam family "tRNA". From Rfam's summary of the family: Transfer RNA (tRNA) molecules are approximately 80 nucleotides in length. The record is from Rfam by way of RNAcentral. Lineage: Eukaryota; Metazoa; Chordata; Mammalia; Carnivora; Felidae.
GCCUGGGUGGCUCAAUUGGUUAAGCGUCUGACUUCCACUCAGGUCAUGAUCUCACGUGAGUUUGAGCCCCGCCCCACGCU